Molecule: ribosomal RNA, 654 nt
Filed under: uncultured bacterium
Lineage: Bacteria
Description: bacterial SSU rRNA
Rfam family: Bacterial small subunit ribosomal RNA
Source: RNAcentral
AGUCGACGAGGUGCUUUGCACCUAGUGGCGAACGGGUGAGUAACACGUAUCUAACCUACCUUUUAGUGGGGGAUAACAGUUGGAAACGACUGCUAAUACCGCAUACGACACCAUUAUGGCAUCAGAAGGUGUUAAAAGGCCCGUUUGGGUCGCUAGAAGAUGGGGAUGCGGCGUAUUAGCUAGUAGGUGGGGUAAUUGCCCACCUAGGCAAUGAUACGUAGCCGAACUGAGAGGUUGAUCGGCCACAUUGGGACUGAGAUACGGCCCAGACUCCUACGGGAGGCAGCAGUAGGGAAUUUUUCACAAUGGACGAAAGUCUGAUGAAGCAAUGCCGCGUGAGUGAUGACGGUCUUCGGAUUGUAAAGCUCUGUUGUAAGGGAAGAAUAGGUAAAAGAGGAAAUGCUUUUAUUUUGACGGUACCUUACCAGAAAGCCACGGCUAACUAUGUGCCAGCAGCCGCGGUAAUACAUAGGUGGCAAGCGUUAUCCGGAUUUAUUGGGCGUACAGGGUGCGUAGGCGGUUCGAUAAGUUUGAGGUUAAAUCCCGGGGCUCAACCCCGGUUCGCCUUGAAAACUGUCUUACUAGAAUACAGGAGAGGUAGAUGGAAUUCCAUGUGUAGCGGUGAAAUGCGUAGAUAUAUGGAGGAACACCAGU